UACAGAGGUGGCAAGCGUUGCUCGGUAUCACUGGGCUUAAAGGGCGCGUAGGCGGUGCGGUACGGUUUCGGUGAAAUCCCUCGGCCCAACCGAGGAACAGCCGGGGCUACGGCCGCGCUAGACGGCAUCAGGGGACAGUGGAACUCCCGGUGGAGCGGUGAAAUGCGUAGAUAUCGGGAGGAACGCCGGUGGCGAAAGCGGUUCUCUGGGCCUUACCUGACGCUGAGGAGCGAAAGCAUGGGGAGCGAACAGG
Molecule: ribosomal RNA, 253 nt
Filed under: uncultured bacterium
Lineage: Bacteria
Description: partial 16S ribosomal RNA
Rfam family: Bacterial small subunit ribosomal RNA
Source: RNAcentral